GAAUGGAUUAUGAAUACAAGCUUAGGCUAAAAUUACACAAACUAGAAACAUUGGCAGCUACUAUAAGAGUUCCUCAAUAAAGAAAAUAACAAUGAAAUAGGAUUAAAAUGUGAAAGGAACUCUCCUAUCUAAAUACACCCAUCAAAUUACCUAUAAACUCAUACACUAAAAACUAAUCAAUUUGACAUUCCACUGAAUCACACAUAAAAGUGAUAUCAAAAUUGAAAUUGAUUUUGUAUAACUCCAUAGGAACCAUGAGAAAGAAACAACAAUUGGGUCAAGUUGGGGGAGGUGACGAUACAAGUGGACCCAAUUGGUCGGACAUUGUAACCACCACCACCACCACAACACAGCUUUGAAAACAAGAACCAGCCAGGAUUUUUGACAUGCCAAUGCUGAUUGAACCCACUAAUAAUACUAGCAACCAAGCAAGCUGCAGGAACCAGGAACUAUCAUCAUCACCAUCAAGAUGUACACGUGUGGUGAUCUGGUGCACCCUGAUUAGUUCAAGUAGGUCCCAACCCCCUAGGGAUCGGUCACAUAUUCUGAUUCAGGGAAUCAGAAAGAAAGCUGAUCCUUUGUUUGCUUGUUUGGACUGUCAGGUUUUGAAAAGAAUGCAGUGU
RNAcentral lists this long non-coding RNA (623 nucleotides) under Gossypium barbadense (sea-island cotton). RNAcentral's name for it is "long non-coding RNA (GBAR_LNC013940)". The record is from RNAcentral. Lineage: Eukaryota; Viridiplantae; Streptophyta; Magnoliopsida; Malvales; Malvaceae.